RNAcentral lists this ribosomal RNA (253 nucleotides) under uncultured bacterium. Its description in RNAcentral is "partial 16S ribosomal RNA". It matches the Rfam family "Bacterial small subunit ribosomal RNA", at positions 524 to 776 of the family's 1533-position model. The record is from RNAcentral.
UACAGAGGUCUCAAGCGUUGUUCGGAUUCAUUGGGCGUAAAGGGUGCGUAGGCGGCAGCGCAAGUCAGGUGUGAAAUCCCGGGGCUCAACCCCGGAACUGCACUUGAUACUGCGUUGCUAGAGUACUGGAGAGGAGACUGGAAUUUACGGUGUAGCAGUGAAAUGCGUAGAUAUCGUAAGGAAGACCAGUGGCGAAGGCGGGUCUCUGGACAGUUCCUGACGCUGAGGCACGAAGGUCAGGGGAGCAAACGGG